Non-coding RNA from Pimephales promelas (fathead minnow), 327 nucleotides. The record is from RefSeq and is a predicted model, not a curated record. Lineage: Eukaryota; Metazoa; Chordata; Actinopteri; Cypriniformes; Leuciscidae.
GGGAUGUUGUACAGCUCACGCUCCCACAAAGCUUUGCAGGAGACCGUACAAUGAAAUUUGGUGCGUUUUUUUAACAUUUCGGCGCCAUUUUCGAUUGGACCCGAGAGCUGCUAGAGGACUGUUUCUCUGUGUUCCACCCUCCACCCAGCGCAAGAGACCAGCAGAAUGUACUAUAGCAGCACAUAAAUACUGGAGGUGAAUGUGGUGUUAUCCAGUAUUACUGUUCUGCUUUAGUAAGACCUGUCAGCACUUACAGACUCCAAAGAGCCACAGCAGAUCCUUCCCCGAGAGCUCAACAUACCCACUUGUGUGCUGUAAAAAUACAUG